Molecule: ribosomal RNA, 254 nt
Filed under: uncultured bacterium
Lineage: Bacteria
Description: partial 16S ribosomal RNA
Rfam family: Bacterial small subunit ribosomal RNA
Source: RNAcentral
UACGGGGGGAGCAAGCGUUGUUCGGAUUUACUGGGCGUAAAGGGCGCGUAGGCGGUCAGCACAAGUCAGUUGUGAAAUCUCCGGGCUUAACUCGGAAAGGUCAACUGAUACUGUGCGACUAGAGUGCAGAAGGGGCAACUGGAAUUCUCGGUGUAGCGGUGAAAUGCGUAGAUAUCGGGAAGAACACCAGUGGCGAAAGCGGCUCUCUGGGGACCACCUGACGCUGAGGCGCGAAAGCGUGGGGAGCGAACCGG